RNAcentral lists this ribosomal RNA (449 nucleotides) under Nasutitermes fumigatus. RNAcentral's name for it is "partial 16S ribosomal RNA". It matches the Rfam family "Bacterial large subunit ribosomal RNA", at positions 1840 to 2541 of the family's 2925-position model. Lineage: Eukaryota; Metazoa; Arthropoda; Insecta; Blattodea; Termitidae. The record is from RNAcentral.
UUAGUUUUUGAAGUAUGGCCUGCCCCUGACAUAUUGUUGAAGGGCCGCGGUAUUUUGACCGUGCAAAGGUAGCAUAAUCAUUAGUUCUUUAAUUGUGAUCUGGUAUGAAUGGCUUGACGAGACAUUAGCUGUCUUAAGAGUAUUAUUUAUUGAAUUUGGUUUUUGAGUUAAAAUUCUUAAAUGUUUUUAUGGGACGAGAAGACCCUAUAGAGUUUAACACUUUUCUUGCUUAUGUGUUGUUUGUUUAUCUUUGUUGAGUAGGAAUAUAUUGUUUUGUUGGGGUGAUGGGAGGAAUAAUAUUUAACUCCUCUUUGUUUUUGUAUAUUUAUUUAUAUUUUUUUGAUCCAUUUAUUUUGAUUAUAAGAUUAAAUUACCUUAGGGAUAACAGCGUUAUCUUCCUUGAGAGUUCUUAUUGGCGGGGGGGUUUGCGACCUCGAUGUUGGAUUAAG